AGAGUUUGAUCAUGGCUCAGGAUGAACGCUAGCUACAGGCUUAACACAUGCAAGUCGAGGGGAAACGACAUCGAAAGCUUGCUUUUGAUGGGCGUCGACCGGCGCACGGGUGAGUAACGCGUAUCCAACCUGCCCACCACUUGGGGAUAACCUUGCGAAAGUAAGACUAAUACCCAAUGACGUCUCUAGAAGACAUCUGAAGGAGAUUAAAGAUUUAUCGGUGAUGGAUGGGGAUGCGUCUGAUUAGCUUGUUGGCGGGGUAACGGCCACCAAGGCGACGAUCGAGUAGGGGUUCUGAGAGGAAGGUCCCCCANAUUGGAACUGAGACACGGUCAAACUCCUACGGGAGCA
RNAcentral lists this ribosomal RNA (351 nucleotides) under uncultured bacterium. Its description in RNAcentral is "bacterial SSU rRNA". It matches the Rfam family "Bacterial small subunit ribosomal RNA", at positions 8 to 349 of the family's 1533-position model. The record is from RNAcentral.